ACUUUUACAAUAAUUUUAUUUUUGGUUUAUGUGCCUUUUGCAUCAUGCCUAUUGGAGAGUUAUAGAAUAAAUUUCCUUAACCGAAAACUUGGGAUUUCAUUGUUAAUUGGGCUGGAUUAGAAUCGGGUAGAUAUUAAUGUUAAAAUUAUCAGUGUGGUGUGAAAAAUUAGUCGAUCAAGUUUAUAACUGUUUUUUAGCUUUAAAUUACUAUUAUUCCUUUGGUUAAGAGAUCACAGGAAAUAUUAUAUUUAAACUGUAUUUUAUUUAAAAUAGGGUUAAAACUACCCAAUUUUUUUAAGUUUGUUAAAAUAUUUUAAGUGCGGGUUUAAAAUUAAGUUUAAAGGCUAUUUAUUAAAAUUUUUAGAAAUUAUGAAUUUUUAGAUAAGUAAUAUAAUCGUAUUUAAUUGUUUCUAAAGUAUAGCCCGUCUGUUUAUUAAAAACAUUUCCAUGUUUAAAGUUACAUGGUAGUACCUGCUCUAUGUUUAUAUUAAUGGCCGCAGUAUCUUGACUGUGCGAAGGUAGCAUAAUUAAUUGCCUUAUAAUUAAAGGCUUGUCUGAAUGGUUUGACGAGGUUAGAACAAACAUUUAGUACUUUAUUGAAAUUAGUAUUGAGGGUACAGAACCCUCAUAUUUUAAUUAGACGGAAAGACCCCGGGAUCUUUUAUUUUUGUCUGGGGCAGAUAUAAAUAAUUUAUUAGUAUUUUGACCCACGUUAGUGUUUAGUGAGUUAAGUUACCCCGGGGAUAACAGUGUAAUAGUCAAUAAGAGUUCUUAUCGAUUUGAUUGUUUGCUACCUCGAUGUUGACUUAGGUAAAUAUUUUAGGCGCAGUAGUCUAUGAUUUUGGUCUGUUCGACCAGUUUUACCUCCAUGAGUUGAGUUAAGACCGGUGUAAGCCAGGUCGGUUCUUAUCUAUUAAUGAGAUUUACUAGUACGAAAGGAUUGUAAGUCUUUUUUUU
This 957-nucleotide ribosomal RNA is filed under the name Potamotrygonocestus sp. MZUSP 7996. RNAcentral describes it as "16S ribosomal RNA". The stretch from base 633 to 917 matches the Rfam family "Archaeal large subunit ribosomal RNA", at positions 2149 to 2717 of the family's 2987-position model. The record is from RNAcentral. Lineage: Eukaryota; Metazoa; Platyhelminthes; Cestoda; Tetraphyllidea; Onchobothriidae.